RNAcentral lists this unclassified non-coding RNA (256 nucleotides) under Hevea brasiliensis (rubber tree). Lineage: Eukaryota; Viridiplantae; Streptophyta; Magnoliopsida; Malpighiales; Euphorbiaceae. The record is from RNAcentral.
UAAUGGGUGGGGGUCGGAUAUGGAUAUUGGUUUUGAUUCGGAUGAUGAGGUUUAUGAUGGAUAUCACUCUGUUGAAACUUCACCUCAAGAUGAUAAGUUUCCGAAUGUUGGUACUUCAAAGAGAAAGCAUUCUUUCAAUGAACAUAUUGGUAAUACCACCAAUGAUGAACUUCACCAGAAAAUGUGGAACCAUUCUGAGAGUGUGUAUCCUGGUAAUGAAGUUAAAAGUUCAUCAAAUUCUGUUGCAAGUUCUAAA